GCCGCAAUAGCUCAGUCGGCAGAGCAACUGAUUCGUAAUCAGUAGGUCGGAGGUUCGAUUCCUCUUUGCGGCACCA
Molecule: transfer RNA, 76 nt
Filed under: Marinimicrobium koreense
Lineage: Bacteria; Pseudomonadati; Pseudomonadota; Gammaproteobacteria; Cellvibrionales; Cellvibrionaceae
Description: tRNA-Thr
Rfam family: tRNA
About the family: Transfer RNA (tRNA) molecules are approximately 80 nucleotides in length. Their secondary structure includes four short double-helical elements and three loops (D, anti-codon, and T loops).
Source: RNAcentral